UGUUAUUACUGUGUUUCUAGUCUAGUCCAUAUACAAUCAAAUUAAUUUGGUGACAAUCACCAAAUUAAUCUCAUGGACACUGCAAACAACCGAUAAAUCGUUUUCAAGAAUAACUUUAUUGAAAGUGAUAUAGAAAAAAUCCAAAGGCCGUAAGCUUUUUCUAGUGCUUUCUUUUUCUUCAAAUUCUCUUUAUUCUUUUCGUUCAUGAUUUUUUGCCUUUUUUUUUAUCUAGAAAAUUGGACACUUCAUUCUUUUUUAGGGAACCUUACUUGGAUUGUCAAUUCUUUAGAAAUUUCUAAAAGAUUCCUAUGGAAUGAAUGCCUUCAAUUUUGUAGGAAGCAUCACAUCAGAUUGAAUGUCCACUAAAGAAUGCUGGUGCAAAGACCCACUCUACCCCUCUCUUGUUGAUGUGAAGUUUCUUAUGAAACAUUCAUGAGAUGCCAUGUUCUUUUCUUGGAUGGGUAAGUGGGGGAGUGGACUCUGCCCUUGAUAGGAACUAAGCUUAAGACGUAGCGUUGCAAAUUAUCAAACGUUAGUCAAUCAAGCUUAGGUUUUUUUUUUUUUCUAUGAGAGGCCACGUUCAUUAUGCUCAUUGAGUAUAUUUCCAUUAUUGUACGAAAAGUAUGGUGUAAUGGGCACUAAUCAAUAAAUUGGAUAGUGAUGGAGCAAUAGGACUCACCCUCUCAUUCCUAUACGGCACUAUCUUAACUCCUUGCAUAACACCAUCCUACGAUCAUGAUGAUUCGCAAUAUACUUCCCUAUUUUUCCAUUUCAUAUGUACACAUUAUGCUCUGCUCUAUGCCCUUGCACGUUGAUGCCACGAAUGUUUCAAAACUCAGAUCGGCGGUAUGGAUCAUUAGG
RNAcentral lists this long non-coding RNA (861 nucleotides) under Amborella trichopoda. RNAcentral's name for it is "long non-coding RNA (ATRI_LNC001161)". The record is from RNAcentral. Lineage: Eukaryota; Viridiplantae; Streptophyta; Magnoliopsida; Amborellales; Amborellaceae.